Long non-coding RNA from Pistacia vera, 725 nucleotides. RefSeq lists it as uncharacterized. NCBI's taxonomy places the organism in Eukaryota, Viridiplantae, Streptophyta, Magnoliopsida, Sapindales, Anacardiaceae. The transcript is spliced from 4 exons. The record is from RefSeq and is a predicted model, not a curated record.
GUUUAUCAGUUUGCUUUUCUUUCUUUUCUUUGCAUUAUCCGGCAUUAGCAACAACAUCUGGUUCUGUUGUUGGCGACUCUGUGUUGAAGCAUCUUUGGCAUCAUCAGGAUGCCAUAUUGUGCGGUUCAUUGAAGUCGCUUCCAGUUUUCGUCUCUGCAAACCAAGCAGGCCUUGACAUGCUGGAGAUAACUCUAACGGCUCCACAAGAUAUCUCACUGGAUAAAAUUUUUGAUGAGUCUGGCGAAAGUCAUUAUGUGCUGACUUCGCCAAGUUAAUGCAGCAGGGGAUCCCAGCCUCAGGUAAGAUAUAAGUUGAAAGAGGAAUGGCAGAAACACUAUAUGUUUAUGAAGAUGGGUGCUCUUUGGAGAGCUUCAAAGUCUAAGCUGAUGAGCAAAAUUAAGACGGCCAGAGGAAAGAAUGGCCCUCGAACUUGAUAACAUCAAGAUUAUUGGUGAAUGGAAAAAGUUUGUGAAAGAAAAAAUAGGGUCAAAGUUUAAGAUGAUUAUAUCACUACACACAUUUGAUUAGAGAUGGCAAUGAGCUUGAUAUUUCUGAGCAUCCGGCCUGGCCCGUCCCAAAAAGGCCGGGUUUUACCUGGCGUUUGCGGGCUUGAGCUUGGGCUUGGACCUGGGCUUGAUUUAAAGCCCGACCUCGAGUACCAGCUGGGCUUGGGUAUGUUUUCUUACCUGACCCGAAAAUUUUAGUAUUAAUUUUGCUAAAUUACC